GGCAUCCUAGGUGCUUCUGUUCUGCCAUCAGCACACCUUGGGUUCUCCUCCUAGUCACCUAUCCACAGUAGACAUCUCAUCUGGAGCAAUGAGAACUGAAUAAGGGAGAAACAAAUGCUGGGUAGACAGAAGCGACGGAUGUGCAUGAGGAGCUGAGACAGACAGCUGCCUGGAAUUGAGCCUUACUUAACCUGGAAGCAUCCUGUUGUACCUUGUCAUCUGGCUCUGUGGACAGGCCUUUCUGGUCUUCACACUGAUGCAGGUACUAACUCAAUCUCAGCCGGUCACGGUGGUUCACGCCUCUAAUCCCAACACUUUGCGAGGUGGAGACGGGUAGAUCGCUUGAGGUCAGGAGUUCAAGACCAGUCUGGCCAACAUGGCAAAACCCCAUCUCUACCAAAAACACAAAAAUUAGUGGGGUGUGGUGCCCCAUGUCUAUAGUCCCACCUACUUGGGAAGCUGAGGUGGGAGAGUCACUUGAACCCUGGAGGCAGAGGCUGCAGUGAGCUGAGAUGGUGCCACUGCACUCCAGCCUGGGUGACAGACAGAGACUGUCCCCCCACCCCCGAAAAAAAAAAUCAAUCUUGCAUUCCUAACAUCAGUCGCACUUGGUCAUGGUACGUAAUUCUUUUUGUAUGCUACUAGAUUCGGUUUUCUACUAAGGCAACCACUAUUAAUUAUUAAAAACUGCACAGAUGAUCUGAACAUUGUACAAAAACUUAAGCAGAAUUCUUCUAUGGAAGGCUUUGUUUUCAGGUUAAAAUAAGGCAUGUUCACAAUUAGUAAUACAUGAACUAUUAUCUUCUAGUAAUUCUUGCCCGUAUGAGCAUAAAGCCACUACAGAUAUUCCGGAAAUGAACUCAGACCUUGACUUGCACAUAGUAAUAACAGAAAAAGGCACUGCGAAUCCCCAAUAGCCGCUUUAUAAGAAAGGAAUCUGAGUCAAAUUCUUAGACAUCAGUUUAAAGUCUAGAAGACAAAGUAACCUUUAAGAAAAAGACCUAACAUCAGCCGGGCACGGUGGUUCACCAAUCCCAGCACUUUGGGAGGCCGAGGCAGGCAGAUCAC
This 1068-nucleotide long non-coding RNA is filed under the name Homo sapiens (human). RNAcentral's name for it is "HSALNT0228696". The record is from RNAcentral. Lineage: Eukaryota; Metazoa; Chordata; Mammalia; Primates; Hominidae.